CGAGAAGCGUUUGAUCGAGUGUG
This 23-nucleotide non-coding RNA is filed under the name Drosophila melanogaster (fruit fly). The record is from RNAcentral. Lineage: Eukaryota; Metazoa; Arthropoda; Insecta; Diptera; Drosophilidae.